Molecule: ribosomal RNA, 532 nt
Filed under: uncultured Glomus
Lineage: Eukaryota; Fungi; Glomeromycota; Glomeromycetes; Glomerales; Glomeraceae
Description: SSU rRNA
Rfam family: Eukaryotic small subunit ribosomal RNA
Source: RNAcentral
GGUGCCAGCAGCCGCGGUAAUUCCAGCUCCAAUAGCGUAUAUUAAAGUUGUUGCAGUUAAAAAGCUCGUAGUUGAAUUUCGGGGUUAGUAGGUUGGUCAUGCCUCUGGUAUGUACUGGUCUCACUGAUUCCUCCUUCCUUAUGAACCGUAAUGCCAUUAAUUUGGUGUUGCGAGGAAUUUGGACUGUUACUUUAGAAAAAUUAGAGUGUUUAAAGCAAGCUAACGCUUGAAUACAUUAGCAUGGAAUAAUGAAAUAGGACGUUCGAUCUUAUUUUGUUGGUUUCUAGGGAUUGACGUAAUGAUUAAUAGGGAUAGUUGGGGGGCAUUAGUAUUCAAUUGUCAGAGGUGAAAUUCUUGGAUUUAUUGAAGACUAACUACUGCGAAAGCAUUUGCCAAGGAUGUUUUCAUUAAUCAAGAACGAAAAGUUAGGGGGAUCGAAGACGAUCAGAUACCGUCGUAGUCUUAACCAUAAACUAUGCCGACUAGGGAUCGGAUGAUGUUAAUUUUUUAAUGACUCAUUCGGCGCCUUACG